This 28-nucleotide small RNA is filed under the name Bombyx mori (domestic silkworm). RNAcentral's name for it is "ovarian small RNA-9827". The record is from RNAcentral. Lineage: Eukaryota; Metazoa; Arthropoda; Insecta; Lepidoptera; Bombycidae.
AAAAACCAAUAGUCGUAACAACCGGUGA